UGGGGAAUUUUGGACAAUGGGGGAAACCCUGAUCCAGCCAUCCCGCGUGUGCGAUGAAGGCCUUCGGGUUGUAAAGCACUUUUGGCAGGAAAGAAACGUCAUGGGUUAAUACCCCGUGAAACUGACGGUACCUGCAGAAUAAGCACCGGCUAACUACGUGCCAGCAGCCGCGGUAAUACGUAGGGUGCAAGCGUUAAUCGGAAUUACUGGGCGUAAAGCGUGCGCAGGCGGUUCGGAAAGAAAGAUGUGAAAUCCCAGAGCUCAACUUUGGAACUGCAUUUUUAACUACCGGGCUAGAGUGUGUCAGAGGGAGGUGGAAUUCCGCGUGUAGCAGUGAAAUGCGUAGAUAUGCGGGGGAGCACCGAUGGCGAAGGCAGCCUCCUGGGAUAACACUGACGCUCAUGCACGAAAGCGUGGGGAGCAAACAGG
RNAcentral lists this ribosomal RNA (429 nucleotides) under Acidobacteriota bacterium. Its description in RNAcentral is "Acidobacteria bacterium partial 16S ribosomal RNA". It matches the Rfam family "Bacterial small subunit ribosomal RNA", at positions 355 to 776 of the family's 1533-position model. Lineage: Bacteria; Pseudomonadati; Acidobacteriota. The record is from RNAcentral.